RNAcentral lists this long non-coding RNA (206 nucleotides) under Cricetulus griseus (Chinese hamster). RNAcentral's name for it is "lncRNA (ENSCGRG00000025743.1)". The record is from RNAcentral. Lineage: Eukaryota; Metazoa; Chordata; Mammalia; Rodentia; Cricetidae.
CAUUUCCUUGUGCUGCUUAACAUAUCCAGCAGGUGGCCGAGCCUACACUUCUGCAGAUGAGUGAAGUAUGGGCGUUGAGAAAGUGGGUGUCUUCACACAUUCUUUCCUGAAGCUCACAGAAUAAAUGAGAUCCCUUUGAAGCGUGAUUAAUUUUCGACAGAAACUAUUUUAUGACAGGUAAGUAACAUCAAAUCAUGGGCAUUUAG